Molecule: ribosomal RNA, 442 nt
Filed under: uncultured bacterium
Lineage: Bacteria
Description: partial 16S ribosomal RNA
Rfam family: Bacterial small subunit ribosomal RNA
Source: RNAcentral
CCUACGGGUGGCUGCAGUGGGGAAUAUUGGGCAAUGGGCGCAAGCCUGACCCAGCAACGCCGCGUGAAGGAAGAAGGCUUUCGGGUUGUAAACUUCUUUUAUGCGGGACGAGCCAAAUACGGUAACCCUUUAAUUAGCCCCCGCUAACUACGUUCCAGCAGCCGCGGUAAUACGUAGGUGGCCAGCGUUGUCCGGAUUUACUGGGUGUAAAGGGCGUGCAGCCGGGAAGACAAGUCAGAUGUGAAAUCCCGCGGCUCAACCGCGGAACUGCAUUUGAAACUGUUUUUCUUGAGUACCGGAGAGGUCAUCGGAAUUCCGUGUGUAGCGGUGAAAUGCGUAGAUAUAAGGAAGAACACCAGUGGCGAAGGCGGAUGACUGGACGGCAACUGACGGUGAGGCGCGAAAGCGUGGGGAGCAAACAGGAUUAGAUACCCCUGUAGUC